RNAcentral lists this ribosomal RNA (310 nucleotides) under Loxosomella murmanica. RNAcentral's name for it is "eukaryotic LSU rRNA". It matches the Rfam family "Eukaryotic large subunit ribosomal RNA", at positions 666 to 946 of the family's 3401-position model. The record is from RNAcentral. Lineage: Eukaryota; Metazoa; Entoprocta; Loxosomatidae.
CCAAGAAGUCUAACAUGUAUGCGAGUCAAUGGGCGUUACGAAACCCAAAGGCGAAAUGAAAGUGAAGGCGGUUCUAUGGAUCGCUGAGGUGUGAUCCCGGCUUUAACCGGCUGGGCGCAACACCGGCCCGUCUUGCUCGCAUUGUCGAUGAGGCGGAGCUUGAGCAUACAUGUUAGGACCCGAAAGAUGGUGAACUAUGCCUGAGUAGGAUGAAGCCAGAGGAAACUCUGGUGGAAGUCCGCAGCGAUUCUGACGUGCAAAUCGAUCGUCGAACUUGGGUAUAGGGGCGAAAGACUAAUCGAACCAUCUA